CCUACGGGAGGCAGCAGUGAGGAAUAUUGGUCAAUGGACGAGAGUCUGAACCAGCCAAGUCGCGUGAAGGAUGACUGCCCUAUGGGUUGUAAACUUCUUUUAUAUGGGAAUAAAAUGUUCCACGUGUGGGAUUUUGUAUGUACCAUAUGAAUAAGGAUCGGCUAAAUCCGUGCCAGCAGCCGUGGUAAUACCGAGGGUCGGAGCGUUAUCCGGAUUUAUUGGGUUUUAAGGGAGCGUAGGUGGAUUGUUAAGUCAGUUGUGAAAGUUUCGGGCUCAACCGUAAAAUUGCAGUUGAAACUGGCAGUCUUGAGUGCGGUAGAGGUAGGCGGAAUGCGGGGUGUAGCGGUGAAAUGCUUAGAUAUCACGAAGAACUCCGAUUGCGAAGGCAGUUCACUGGACUGCAACUGACACUGAGGCUCGAAAGUGUGGGUAUCAAACAGGAUUAGAUACCCCUGUAGUC
RNAcentral lists this ribosomal RNA (460 nucleotides) under uncultured bacterium. RNAcentral's name for it is "partial 16S ribosomal RNA". It matches the Rfam family "Bacterial small subunit ribosomal RNA", at positions 338 to 795 of the family's 1533-position model. The record is from RNAcentral.